RNAcentral lists this ribosomal RNA (477 nucleotides) under uncultured bacterium. RNAcentral describes it as "partial 16S ribosomal RNA". It matches the Rfam family "Bacterial small subunit ribosomal RNA", at positions 28 to 507 of the family's 1533-position model. The record is from RNAcentral.
GAUGAACGCUGGCGGCGUGCCUAACACAUGCAAGUCGAACGAACCACCUUACCUCUUUCUUCUUUUGCGAUUUUGGUGAAUGAGUGGCGGACGCGUGAGUAACGCGUCUGUAACCUGCCCUGUACUGCGGGAUAACAGCUCUAAUCCGCUACUACUACCUCAUACGCGCACGUGGACACAUCUCCUCGUUUUUACUCCUCCGUUGGUACAGGAUGGGCCCGCGUCUGAUUAGCUGGUUGGCAGGGUCACGGCCUACCAAGGCAACGAUCAGUAGCUGGACGGAGAGGAGGAACGGCCACAGUGGAACUGAGACACGGUCCAAACUCCUAAGGGAGGCAGCAGUGGGGAAUAUUGCACAAUGGGGGAAAACCUGAUGCAGCAACGCCGCGUGAGUGAAGAAGUAUUUCGGUAUGUAAAGCUCUAUCAGCAGGGAAGAUAAUGACGGUACCUGACGAAGAAGAGCCGGCUAAAUACGUG